This 391-nucleotide unclassified non-coding RNA is filed under the name soil metagenome. RNAcentral describes it as "partial contains 5.8S ribosomal RNA, internal transcribed spacer 2, and large subunit ribosomal RNA". The stretch from base 1 to 122 matches the Rfam family "5.8S ribosomal RNA", at positions 35 to 154 of the family's 154-position model. The record is from RNAcentral.
GAUGAAGAACGUAGCGAAAUGCGAUACUUGGUGUGAAUUGCAGAAUCCCGUGAACCAUCGAGUCUUUGAACGCAAGUUGCGCCCGAAGCCACUAGGCCGAGAGCACGCCUGCCUGGGCGUCACACGUCGUUCCCCCCCCAUCUACUCCUUCGGGAUUGCGGGGGGCGGAUGAUGGCCUCCCGUGCGCCUCGCCGCGCGGUUGGCAUAAAUGCCAAGUCCUCGGCGACGCACGCCACGACAAUCGGUGGUUGCGAAACCUCGGUUGCCCGUCGUGUGCGGUCGUCGCGCAUCGAGGGCUCGAAAAAAUUGCCGGGUUCCGGCUCGGCUUUCAACGCGACCCCAGGUCAGGCGGGGUUACCCGCUGAAUUUAAGCAUAUCAAUAAGCGGAGGA